AGAGUUUGAUCCUGGCUCAGGACGAACGCUGGCGGCGUGCUUAACACAUGCAAGUCGAACGGAAAGGCCCUGCUUGCAGGGUACUCGAGUGGCGAACGGGUGAGUAACACGUGGGUGAUCUGCCCCUGACUUUGGGAUAAGCCUGGGAAACUGGGUCUAAUACCGGAUAUGACCUUACAUCGCAUGGUGUUUGGUGGAAAGCUUUUGCGGUUGGGGAUGGGCCCGCGGCCUAUCAGCUUGUUGGUGGGGUAAUGGCCUACCAAGGCGACGACGGGUAGCCGACCUGAGAGGGUGAUCGGCCACACUGGGACUGAGACACGGCCCAGACUCCUACGGGAGGCAGCAGUGGGGAAUAUUGCACAAUGGGCGCAAGCCUGAUGCAGCGACGCCGCGUGAGGGAUGACGGCCUUCGGGUUGUAAACCUCUUUCACCAGGGACGAAGCGCGAGUGACGGUACCUGGAGAAGAAGCACCGGCCAACUACGUGCCAGCAGCCGCGGUAAUACGUAGGGUGCGAGCGUUGUCCGGAAUUACUGGGCGUAAAGAGCUCGUAGGCGGUUUGUCGCGUCGUCUGUGAAAUUCUGCAACUCAAUUGCAGGCGUGCAGGCGAUACGGGCAGACUUGAGUACUACAGGGGAGACUGGAAUUCCUGGUGUAGCGGUGAAAUGCGCAGAUAUCAGGAGGAACACCGGUGGCGAAGGCGGGUCUCUGGGUAGUAACUGACGCUGAGGAGCGAAAGCGUGGGUAGCGAACAGGAUUAGAUACCCUGGUAGUCCACGCCGUAAACGGUGGGUACUAGGUGUGGGGCUCAUUUCACGAGUUCCGUGCCGUAGCUAACGCAUUAAGUACCCCGCCUGGGGAGUACGGCCGCAA
RNAcentral lists this ribosomal RNA (872 nucleotides) under Gordonia sp. CNJ798 PL04. Its description in RNAcentral is "bacterial SSU rRNA". It matches the Rfam family "Bacterial small subunit ribosomal RNA", at positions 8 to 891 of the family's 1533-position model. The record is from RNAcentral. Lineage: Bacteria; Bacillati; Actinomycetota; Actinomycetes; Mycobacteriales; Gordoniaceae.